UGAGGAAUUUUCCGCAAUGGAGGAAACUCUGACGGAGCAACGCCGCGUGCAGGAGGACGGCCUUCGGGUUGUAAACUGCUUUUCUGUGGGACGAGGUUUGGACGGUACCACAGGAAGAAGCCCCGGCUAACUACGUGCCAGCAGCCGCGGUAAUACGUAGGGGGCGAGCGUUGUCCGGAGUUACUGGGCGUAAAGCGUCCGCAGGCGGUGCGGCAAGUUCGAGGUGACAGUGCGCGGCUUAACUGCGCAAGGUCCUUGAAAACUGCCGCACUUGAGGGCUUCAGAGGGAUCCGGAAUUCCGGGUGGAGUGGUGAAAUGCGUAGAGAUCCGGAGGAACACCAAAGGCGCAGGCAGGGUCCUGGGAAGCCACUGACGCUCAGGGACGAAAGCUAGGGGAGCCAACGG
This 405-nucleotide ribosomal RNA is filed under the name uncultured bacterium. RNAcentral describes it as "bacterial SSU rRNA". It matches the Rfam family "Bacterial small subunit ribosomal RNA", at positions 355 to 775 of the family's 1533-position model. The record is from RNAcentral.